AGCAUCGGAGGCCCACAUACCCAAGGAGGGUCCAUUGGACCUCCAAUCAACCCUGUUGACUCAGGAAAGAAAACAGGAUCGUCAGAUCUGUAGAUUUGUCUCGGUCCCUCGAUUCGAAGGGUGGAAAGCACAAAACACAAAAAGGCCAAAGGUGGAGGAUCACACAAGAUCCGAUGAAGAGGUCACUUGGCCUGUGACAAGUGUCCAUGGAAGAGACACUUGCCGUCACAAUGGAAGGUCCAAACCCCACACUUAAAAACACGAAGACCUCUCAAACCCUCCUUAUUUUGCAUUAGCUAUCUCUUUCUUCAUUUAAACAAAUGCUCUACACUUGGAGCUUACCGGAGUCCUCGAACUCGCCGGAGAAGGUGGUGGCGCACGGUGGCCACCGCCGUAUUCUCCGACCACCACCCAGAAACCCAAACGAACAACACAAACCCCCGCUUAUUUUGGCCCGUGAUUACGAAUCCGGCCUCAAAACAACCAAAGUCCCACCCAAAACUCCAGAUCAGAAACCCUAAAACAAAAACCCUAACCCAAACAAAAUGAAUUAAAAUCCACAAUCAAGGGCAAAUCGAGCAAUUACUAGAGGAACAAGGAUCAACAAAAGGAGUUCUACACCAUAACAAUUUCAAAAAGGCGAGAAGAUCUCAAAAUAACCUAAUCAGAGUGAAUCCGACGUGAUUCUGGAAACAACUCAAAGAUGACUUGGAGCUUGAAGAAAAAAUAAGGUUUGGCUUGAUGCCAACAUGUGGGUGACACGAGGUCUUUACAAGUUGGGGCUAGGAAUUAUCAUAAAGUAGAAGGCGAGAGAAAACACGAUGCUCCAAGGAGAAAGGCUGGCUUGAUACAUCUUCAAACUUGAAGAUUUUUAAUUUUCUUUGUAUUGGGACUCUAUGGAAUAGAUAAAACACCUUAUUUGUAAAAUAAUUUUUAAAUGUAACACUUUUUGAAUUAUGUACUAAUAGUAACAAUGCUCAUGUAAUGCCUACCUUUAUUCAAUGAAACAAAAUCCCCCUUUUUUUACUGCAA
This is a long non-coding RNA of Lathyrus oleraceus (garden pea), 1032 nucleotides long. RefSeq lists it as uncharacterized. The transcript is spliced from 2 exons. The record is from RefSeq and is a predicted model, not a curated record. NCBI's taxonomy places the organism in Eukaryota, Viridiplantae, Streptophyta, Magnoliopsida, Fabales, Fabaceae.